AGUAAAUUUUGCAGGUCUUCUAAACUUGUUAAGAGAUGGUUUCUCAUUUACUU
Molecule: transfer RNA, 53 nt
Filed under: Ascaridia sp. GHL-2013
Lineage: Eukaryota; Metazoa; Nematoda; Chromadorea; Rhabditida; Ascaridiidae
Description: tRNA-Ser
Source: RNAcentral